Molecule: long non-coding RNA, 725 nt
Organism: Vidua macroura (Pin-tailed whydah)
Lineage: Eukaryota; Metazoa; Chordata; Aves; Passeriformes; Viduidae
Exons: 2
Source: RefSeq, a predicted model, not a curated record
UCUGCUUUUUGUUGUUUUCUUCUUCAUAACUUUCUUGCCACUUGCUAUUUUUUGGUUUGAAUUUCAGCUAAUCCUGCCAAGUUCACAUGAUUAACGUACUUUGUGGUCUUGGAAGAUUGAAUUUACAACUAAAAGCAUCAACUGCAGUUCUGCUAUACUAAGCUAUUGUAAUAUCCAGUGGAAGACACAUCAUUUCACUUGCUAUAGCAUCAGUACACUUGCUGUUGCCUAUUUGGCUCUUCUUUGCCUGUAGUAUUCCAGACUUUUUCCUUUAUUUAUUUCCUUGUUGAUUUUCUUCAGAAAGAUCACAAUUGCUUCCAUUUCUCAGCAGCAGAGAGAUUGAACUGGAAUAGAUGUUUGUACUUAGAAAGUAAAUUAACUUAAAGAAAGUGAAGGGAAGAGUAAAUACCAGUGCAGAAUUGGCUGUGGAUGACUGCCUGUUUAAACACGGUUUCCAAGGAUUUUGUCAAUUCCAUAGGUGUGCAAACCAGGAUGUUAUCUGAGGGCAUCUCAGAGAUGAUCAUAUAAAGUAUCAAAUGUGAAGCAAGAAGGAAAUAAACCCUCCUAACUAAAGCUAAAAAGAGCUGUUAUGGAGCUAUUUUGUAAGUAUGUAAUAAGCCUUAUUGUUCUUGUAAAAAUAAAGUGAAAACCAAUUGGAAAUAAAAUAUAAAGACAAGUUUAAACCAGAAAAAUAAAUCUGUUAUUAAAUCUCAGAAUUAUAGUUU